UAAAGAACCUACCUUAUAGACAGGGACAACUAUUGGAAACGAUAGCUAAUACCUGAUAAGAAAGAAACUCGCAUGAGAGAAGUUCGAAAGUCGGAGCAAUCUGACACUAUAAGAUGGCUUUGCGGUGCAUUAGCUAGUUGGUAGGGUAAAAGCCUACCAAGGCGACGAUGCAUAGCCGACCUGAGAGGGUGAUCGGCCACAUUGGGACUGAGACACGGCCCAGACUCCUACGGGAGGCAGCAGUG
Molecule: ribosomal RNA, 245 nt
Filed under: uncultured Gemella sp.
Lineage: Bacteria; Bacillati; Bacillota; Bacilli; Caryophanales; Gemellaceae
Description: partial 16S ribosomal RNA
Rfam family: Bacterial small subunit ribosomal RNA
Source: RNAcentral